GGCGUGGUAGCUCAGCCGGUUAGAGCGCAUGAUUCAUAAUCAUGAGGUCGCGAGUUCAAUCCUCGCCCACGCUA
RNAcentral lists this transfer RNA (74 nucleotides) under Prevotellaceae bacterium. RNAcentral describes it as "tRNA-Met". It matches the Rfam family "tRNA". Rfam says of the family: Transfer RNA (tRNA) molecules are approximately 80 nucleotides in length. Their secondary structure includes four short double-helical elements and three loops (D, anti-codon, and T loops). The record is from RNAcentral. Lineage: Bacteria; Pseudomonadati; Bacteroidota; Bacteroidia; Bacteroidales; Prevotellaceae.